This 598-nucleotide ribosomal RNA is filed under the name uncultured bacterium. Its description in RNAcentral is "bacterial SSU rRNA". The stretch from base 1 to 521 matches the Rfam family "Bacterial small subunit ribosomal RNA", at positions 338 to 873 of the family's 1533-position model. The record is from RNAcentral.
CCUACGGGAGGCAGCAGUGGGGAAUCUUGCGCAAUGGGCGAAAGCCUGACGCAGCAACGCCGCGUGCGGGAUGAAGGCCUUCGGGUUGUAAACCGCUUUUAACAGGAACGAAAAUGACGGUACCUGUAGAAUAAGGUGCGGCCAACUACGUGCCAGCAGCCGCGGUGACACGUAGGCACCAAGCGUUGUCCGGAUUUAUUGGGCGUAAAGAGCUCGUAGGCGGUUCGAUAAGUCGGGUGUGAAAACUCUGGGCUUAACCCAGAGACGCCACUCGAUACUAUUGUGACUAGAGUUCGGUAGGGGAGCGGGGAAUUCCUAGUGUAGCGGUGAAGUGCGCAGAUAUUAGGAGGAACACCGGUGGCGAAGGCGCCGCUCUGGGCCGAAACUGACGCUGAGGAGCGAAAGCGUGGGUAGCAAACAGGAUUAGAUACCCUGGUAGUCCACGCCGUAAACGGUGGGCACUAGGUGUGGGCUCCAACCAACGGAGUCCGCGCCGUCGCUAACGCAUUAAGUGCCCCGCCUGGGGAGGUACGGCCGCGAGUAAACGUACAAGAGUAGUAGACGNGNGAGACGCGAACGACGACGACGACGAGGAGAG